GAAACGCGCUGCUAACGUUUAAUUUAUAGAGCUGCCUGAUGGUUGAUUCGCCUUAUUUUAAUCAACUAUAUAAAUUUAUUUUGCUAUUGUUUUAAGCAGCAGUUUAUUUCAAAUGAAUGUCUUCAUUUGGAAUUUACAUAACUAUGCUUCAGUUCUUCGAGAUGGCAGUUGCUUGAAUUGCAUAUGCCCAUGAGUGGCAACUGCUCAAAUCGAUUAUAAGACAUUAUAUUUGAAAUGCUCAAAUUUAACGGUUGAGCUCAGCACGCUCAACCGGUCUGAUGAAAUGGAAUUGUUUGAUCGGAGGUUUUAGGAAUGGAUUGCAGAGAAUACUUGGAGCUCAUGAGAUCAUGCAGGACCGCAACGAUGGCGAGCGAGAUUUUCAUGGCAUGGAAACACGUCUUCGCACUUUCGACCAGCCCGGCACCGCUGCAAGCCGCGAGAAUUCCCACAAACGUCGCAGCAUCGGGCUUGUGGCCCUCGUCUUGCAAUCGGUGA
Molecule: long non-coding RNA, 495 nt
Filed under: Selaginella moellendorffii
Lineage: Eukaryota; Viridiplantae; Streptophyta; Lycopodiopsida; Selaginellales; Selaginellaceae
Description: long non-coding RNA (SMOE_LNC001938)
Source: RNAcentral